Molecule: ribosomal RNA, 426 nt
Filed under: Acanthamoeba sp.
Lineage: Eukaryota; Discosea; Longamoebia; Acanthamoebidae
Description: partial small subunit ribosomal RNA
Rfam family: Eukaryotic small subunit ribosomal RNA (bases 1-369)
Source: RNAcentral
UGGGUUUUAGGCAGGGCAGAUUCAAUUUUCUGCCACCGAAUACAUUAGCAUGGGAUAAUGGAAUAGGACCCUGUCCUCCUUUUUUCAGUUGGUUAAUUCAUGAGAGAGGAACAGGGUAAUGAUUAAUAGGGAUAGUUGGGGGCAUUAAUAUUUAAUUGUCAGAGGUGAAAUUCUUGGAUUUAUGAAAGAUUAACUUCUGCGAAAGCAUCUGCCAAGGAUGUUUUCAUUAAUCAAGAACGAAAGUUAGGGGAUCGAAGACGAUCAGAUACCGUCGUAGUCUUAACCAUAAACGAUGCCGACCAGCGAUUAGGAGACGUUGAAUACAAAACACCUCUAUAUAUAAUUCAGUAUAUGACUACUCAAAUGGUUGUAUAUUGUGUGUAUAUACUUACGGUGAAUGACCCCCCUACCAGGUUGAAAAAAAAA